UACAACCUUCAAACCGCUUUGUAUUUUCUUCCGUCGAUCCCCGGUCUCUGUUUUGCUCGCAGAUUUCACCAUCAGCUUUUUCUCUUCCCCAGAUCUCUUAAAUCAUCGAAACCAUAGUCCCAGAUGCUAUAAUCAGUUACUUUGUAAAUCUGAGGAAGAUAGAAAGUAAAAAUGGUGAAGCUGACAAUGAUUGCCCGAGUUACCGAUGGGCUUCCACUAGCUGAGGGAUUGGAUGAUGGCCGUGAUGUGAAAGACAUUGAAAUGUACAAACAACAAGCAAAGGCUCUAUUUAAGAAUCUUGCUAUGCGUCAAAAUGAGCCUUCGAGGAUGUCCAUUGAAACUGGUCCUUAUGUCUUCCAUUAUAUUAUUGAAGGACAUGUUUGUUACCUCACAAUGUGUGACCGUUCGUAUCCUAAGAAGCUAGCCUUUCAGUACUUGGAAGACCUGAAAAAUGAAUUUGAGCGUGUUAAUGGGGCUCAGAUUGAAACUGCUGCUAGACCAUACGCCUUCAUCAAAUUUGAUACUUUCAUACAGAAAACAAAGAAAUUGUACCAAGACACCCGUACUCAGCGGAAUAUUGCAAAGUUGAAUGAUGAACUCUAUGAAGUUCACCAAAUAAUGACUCGUAAUGUGCAGGAAGUACUUGGUGUUGGUGAAAAACUAGACCAGGUCAGCAUAUAUGCGAGAUUCUGAUGUUAACCGACUGGACAUUUCGCUGACCGCUGACAAGGCAAGAGAUUUGAAUAGGCAGGCCUUAAUUAGGAAGUGGGCUCCUGUUGCCAUCGUGUUAGGAGUUGUUUUCCUCCUUUUCUGGAUUAAAACGAAAAUCUGGUGAUCCUUUGCCUUCUUUGGCUUCUGAGAAUUGUUGCAUCAUUUUCCUGGGUUUCUCUAUAUUGCUGUCAGUUACUUGUGUUCAUGGUGAAUCAUCUGAACUUGGGGGACUUCUGAAUGGGAACUAGAUGCAUGUGAAGACUUAAAUCACGUUUCAAGCUGGACUGUAGUUUUUAUUCAUGGGACACUCUGGUUAAAAGGAUUUGUUCUUUAAGGAGCUCCCAACGACCAUUUGGAGAUAUGAAAGAGAGAGACCCUUUGAUUUACAAGUUAAGGAGCAAAAAUACAUUGAAUACGAGAAAAUUUCUAUAUUCUCAAUGCUUUAUAGA
This 1160-nucleotide unclassified non-coding RNA is filed under the name Hevea brasiliensis (rubber tree). Lineage: Eukaryota; Viridiplantae; Streptophyta; Magnoliopsida; Malpighiales; Euphorbiaceae. The record is from RNAcentral.